AAGGAUUUGAAGCUAUUCAGAAUCUGAAGCCAAAUUCCAGGUGUGCCGAGAAGAUUAAGGGCCUUAAUAAACGCUAUACACAAAUCAAGAGGAAACAGGCAUGCAAGGUAGGUGGUGUAUUCCUAUAAAUAUCAAAUACAAACAAGAGUUUAUAUAUUUAUAAUGCUUAACAAACACAGCUACAUUAUUAUGCGCCAUUUGUAUUUCUAAGUCUUGCCCUUAUAUCUUUCUAAUUUCUAUUUAGUUCUACACUUAUUAGCAGUUCAUACAAUUCUGCAACAGUUUUUGUAUGAAAUCUGGAUGUCUGUAUUAAUUUCUCAAAUGGGGUUAAUUUUCUAGUUAUUUUUUCUUUUAAUAGCUUUUUUUUACUGAAGAAGUAACAUUUAAGAGGUUUUGUCAUAGUAGUAAACUGAAGACAGUAAAUGGUACAAAAAUAAAAGCCACCCAGGAAAUGGCCUCUUCAGAAGUGGCUCCCGCAGUUAGCCUUCUCAGACGGGCUCACCUAGUGUCAUAUUUGUGGUAUUUUCAGCAUGAGGUAAAGACUUUUCUGUUCACCCAGACCUUUUACAUAUUUAAGGAAUCUGGGUGCCUGUUUUUUAAAAUCUAUUUUUAAUUUUAAACUUCUAAAAGCGUAAAAGAAAUCUAUUAUCUUAAUAACUAGCAUCCUAGGGAAGGCCCACAUGAAUUCCAGAACAGUGAGAUAGUCCCCAAUAAUGCCUGUUCAUAUGGUUUUGAAGGACAAAGAUGGUGUUCUCUCUUUUUUAAAAAAUGAUUUUUCAGGUUUAUACCUUUCAAAAAUUUUACAGUCAUUUUACAGUCAUUUUUAGUAUUUUCUGCAUCUCCAAAUUAACUUAAUUUGUUACGUUGAGAAAGAUGGUGUUCUGUAGUGGGGGGAAAGGAGCGUGAUGGUCUGUCAUGUUGAGCAUGUGAAGUCCUGGCUUCACCAUCAAACUACUGGUUGCAAUAAGAUGCUAAAUACAGUAUAUGGGAUUUAUGUAAAUUGAAAGUGGUAAAAUCACCAUGGUGGCCAAAGGGAAGGCCACUCUGAUAAAACUACUUGAAACAACCCUUCCACACUUGCCAUCAAUGCAGCAGCUUGGUCCUAUUAUUAUUCACUCAGAAGCAAGCACCAGGAAGUUCGGUGGAACUUAUUCUCAGGUAAAUGUGCAAAGAAUAACAACCUGUUGUUUUACCUAUCAUAAACCCCAGGGACCAUUUUAUUCGCUGUCUUCAGAGAAAGAAUGUCCCUGUAUAGGGAAGUUUUUAAUAUUUGAUGUUUUAUUGUGUUUUUGAUAUUUUGCUGGAAGCUGCGCUGAGUGGCUGGGGCAACCCAAUCAGAUGGACGACAUUAAUUAUUAUUAUUAUUAUUAUUAUUAUUAUUAUUAUUAUUAUUAUCCUGUGUAUGCCUAGUGAUUAUCCAGUUUUCUAAACACCAAAAUCAUGCACAGAGUGAGCAAUUGUAUAUUUCCUUUUCCAAAAUACAGUACUUCAGAAUGCUUCGCAUCCUUUCAACAUCUCUGCAAAGUGGCCUCAUGUUACCAUCAACAUAGUUCAGAUGGGGACUAUGACUGAAAAAUGUGACCUAAAUCCACUUGAUGCCUGUUUUCUCUACAUCCAUGGCUCGAAAGUAGUGCACACACAAUGUUAGCCACAAUCUAUAUCGAGCCUGUCAUUUCUUAUGAAAUGCUGCAUUUUGCAUCUUUUCCCCAACUCGUUUUGAUCAGAAUUGAGAAAAAAUGCUCUAGGUAUGUUUUAAGCUGUACCCAGUUUUGGAAAGAUUGUGGGCGGGCCGAGAGAAUAACCUGGGAACUUCCUGACUGAUAAUCAAAGGCAUUCAUCACUACAUCACACUAUUUCUGUUCUCUUUCGCUAAGCCAGGAAGGGAAAGUAAAAAGCACUUGAAUUUCCGUGUGCAAUAAAUCUGUCCUUUAAACUUGCUUGAUAAAAUGUAUUAGACCAUUCAUCAUGGUUUUUUUCCCCUCUUCCACAGCCUGUAAUCUGCAACACAAUGUGUGACAACUCCACUAGCGGAGAUACGGGGAAAUUUUUCAGCGAGGCUAUAGAACAUCUUCAAGCAGUAACACGGGAGAACAUGAGGUCAAUCUCAAAUUAGUAUUUACUGUAUUUGACACAUAAGGCC
This is a non-coding RNA of Podarcis lilfordi (Lilford's wall lizard), 2140 nucleotides long. Lineage: Eukaryota; Metazoa; Chordata; Lepidosauria; Squamata; Lacertidae. The record is from the annotation of a GenBank genome assembly.